Acromyrmex echinatior (Panamanian leafcutter ant) is the source of this 391-nucleotide long non-coding RNA. NCBI's taxonomy places the organism in Eukaryota, Metazoa, Arthropoda, Insecta, Hymenoptera, Formicidae. The record is from RefSeq and is a predicted model, not a curated record.
AUGAGUUACAGAAUUCUACUGUUGAUCGCAUCGUUGCGUCCGGACGAUAUAUAUCUAUACGUUUUUAAUGCACGAGAUUAAUUGUAGAAUCGUUUCUCCGAUUUUCUGGACGACGACGAUCAUGGCGUAUCCAAUCGAUUUGAAUUCGAGCGAAUAAUGAGAAGCGCAGUGGCGAUUACAUCAGAUUAUACCUCGCGAGAAUAGUGCAGCGUGAAGUUGCAUUCGAACGAACUGGGGCCAAACCGUUCGAUUUGAAUCCGAACGGUUUCGAUGGGUGAAUCAUGUUCGUUAGACGCGCGUUUCUGCGUACGCUUUUCGUAAUGAGGUUUUAAUGGAGGAUAAUGAUGUGUAUAUACAUAGUUACAUUCACAUAUACAAUAUUAGGUAUGUA